This 3860-nucleotide long non-coding RNA is filed under the name Stegodyphus dumicola. Its description in RNAcentral is "uncharacterized LOC118193747, transcript variant X2". Lineage: Eukaryota; Metazoa; Arthropoda; Arachnida; Araneae; Eresidae. The record is from RNAcentral.
GAAAAACAUAGACUCCUCAAGUGAGUUUGUUUAUAGGAAGUUGAUCAACGGAACUGCAGUAAAAAUAAAGAAAUUCAUACAUAAAUUCGCUUGCAAGGAAAGUUAACAAAGAGAAUUUACAGUUAAGGAGAAAAGAGCUGUGUGAGAAAGCAUUGCAUAUAACCUAAAUGUGCAAAAGCAAUGCAGAAAUGAUAAGGGUGUGAAUCGAUUGGAAAUGUGCCAUGAGAAACGAAAGAAAGAAGAAACAGCUUGUCCAAAAGAGUUAAAUGAUCUUAAGAAGAGGUUACUUCAUUUAGUUGAUAGCAUAUCCAUUUAAGGAAUGGUCCUUAAAGAAAUAAGUUCAAGGAAGAUGUUGAUGACUCUGCCAGUAAGGAAGAAUCUGUGAAUUUGUGGCUAAACAUGACAAAUUAAAUACCACUAAUGAGUUAGAAAAUGAAAAUAAAAUGUAUAAAAAAAAUCACUAAUAGACAUAACAAUCAAAGUCCAAGGCAGUGUAUGGCCCUGCAUUAUUAUGAAUGUUUCCAUUUAGAGCAGUUUUAAUAUCUUGGUGAAAAAAUUUGCCAACUUCUAGAAGACAUUAAAACUGUGUAUGCUGGCUAUGCAAAGAAGGGUUUAGAGCUAAAAUUCAUAAAUGAACCAACAGUGGAAAGUGAGAACAUUGAAGAUUUAAUGCCACCGAAAAACGCUGCCCUUCAAGAUGAUUAAAUGCAGUUAAUUGAGGAUGGUGAUGAUGUGUGGGGUUACUAACUGAUGAUGAAACUCAACUGAGAUGUCUUGCAAUAGUUAAUGGGGACAAGCAGCUCUAUUUUUAUUUAACUUUUUUUUUAAUACUGUACCAGUUUUAAAUAUUACAUCAUUUCAUAAGGGAUUUUGGAGAGAUUUGAAACAAUUAUAGAUCUGAAAUAUCAGCCAUAUAUUAAAAGCUAUGACAAAAGGAAUGAUUCUUUUGGCAAGUUAUAUCAUAAAUUUUUACCCAAAUAUACCACAAAAAAGUAUAAAACUUUCAAUUUGUUCAACCAAACAUCAUAAAGCUUAUUCUUCUUUAUAAAAUGCAUCUGGAAUUAAACAUUUUUACAUUUGUUUUAAGUGUUUAGAAACUUUCAUCUUAAAUGUUGAAAUUUUAUUGUGGAUUUGGUAAAUUUGUAUUAUGACAAUGAAUUAUAAACAUCUAAUUGAUCUCAAUAUAAGUUUUUUUUAUAAAAUUAAAAAUGCGCUUCAGAAAACUAUAUCCAUCUAAUUUAUGCAGUAUAAUAUUUAAUAAAUAAAAUAAUUUAUUACUUUUUCUUUAAUUUUUAUGCUAAAAGAAAAUAUGAUUAUUUUGGUUUAUUGUAAAGUAUGAAACUUAAUUAUCUUUAAAGGUAUUUUCAUAUUAUUCUCCUGUGUUUGAGACUGUUUUAUGUGAAAGCACUCUAUUACCUUCAUCUCAAAAUGUGAAAGCACUAUGUUUCCUUCAUCCCGAAACAGCUUCAUUAGAGCAGAGCUAUCUUAUAUGCUUGAAUAUUUUAUAUAUUCUGACCAGUAUGGUAAAUAAAACAGAAUUCACAGUACAGCCUCCAGUUUAUAAUUUUGAAAUACUAUUAUAAUUAAUGUUAAAUUUAAAACUUUAUAGUUUUCAUAUAUAGAGCAUAAUUACUUCCUUUUUAUUAUUGUCUUUCUGUUAUUUAAAUGACAUCAAGAUUUUCAUCACAUUUUUAUUGAGAAAAAUGGACAUAGCAACCAUAUUUACUUCUCUUUUAAGCAUAUACCCAUUUUUUUCUGGACUGUAAGUCUUCGCCUUGAUUUCCAUAAUAGGAGGGCUUUUUGUAAAAUUUCCUGGGGCUUUGAUUUCUUUUCUCUUUUCAUUACAUUCUGAGGUCCAUCAAUUAUUUUUGGUUUGACGUUAGAAAAAGCUGCUUUCAAGAGACCACAUGUCUAUAGUCUAUAGGUUAAAUAUUGGGGAACUGUGUAGGAAUACAUUGGAAAUGUAUACAUGUAAUAACUUUAUCAGUCUUAAUUUUUCUAGGAAUGCAAUGAUACUUUUUGAAAUAUGACAUGUUGCUUUAUCUUGAUGAAAUUUCACCCUAUGAGAGUCAUUGGGAUAAAGAAGUGGAAUUUUUUCUGUAGGUAUUAGACAUAAAGCUUUCUCUUGAUAGUAUGUUGUUGAUUUUAACAUUUUCCCCAUUCUUCUUAUUUUUAAUGCCCUUUUGCAAGCGAAUUCUGCAACCUGUACUUCAUUAAUGAUCACUAUAUGUUUCCAUUUGUCUCCCGCUAAAUAGUUUUCAUACAGGGUUCUACAAAUUGUUCAGUGUUGUGCCACGUACUUCAGUAAAACUAGUGAACGUUAUGUUUUUAAGUUUUUUUAAAUUGUAAAAAUUAGUUCAUUAUUUUAUUUUUUGUUGCUACAGAUGUAUUUAAAGACUUUGCAACUCAUUUCUGCAUCAGUGGAUUUUCAUUUGUUACCAACAAUUUAACUUCAGAAACAGUAUGUACCUUUUUCAGGUCUUUGUAUUUUAAGUCUUUGUUGGAGUAAUGAUUGACAGUUUUCCCCUUUCCAAUUAAUAGUAUUGCAUAUUUUGCAUUUUGAAAUUUUAAUAAUAUGCAUUUCACAACAUUUUUUAAUUAUUGAUUAGGAAUAUUUCUCUUCAGGAAGCACAACAACCUAUCCUUCAAUCCACAGAUUGUUUUCAUGUGACAUUUUGAAAGAAUAAAUUUAAAAGGACAGUCAAAAUUUCUCAUUGCAAAUAAUGAGCUGUUGCCAGAAAUUUUUAUUCCAAAACAUUUGCUCUUUAAAAUUCUUUAUUGAAAUUAUUUUAAAAGUAUGUAAGCACUCUCUGGGAAUCUGAUGUAUUUUAUGCUACAUUUAUGCACUGGAAAUAUGUAUUUCUUGGUCUUAUUUCCUUUUGUAUUGCACACUGUUUAUCAAUUUAGUUUUCAUUGUGUUAAAUUGAUAAUCCACAGAUAUUCUUAUAUAUUUAUUGUAUCAUAAUAUUGACCAAUUUGCAAACCUGAGAAAUGCAACUAUUAAUUUCUUUGCUUAUUUUAAAAUUAUUUUAAUCAUAUUUAACAGUUCUAGAUGUAAGAAUUUUCUAAAUAUUUAUGUUAUGUGUUCCAUAAUAGGAAGAGGAAUAUUUAUGUAUGCAACAGGUUUUUAGAACAAGUUCAUAUAUAAAUAUUUAAUUCUAAUUUCUUUUGAAGCAUGGUAUUCCAUGUUAAGACUUUUUUUUAAACAUUUUUCAUUGUUUGAAUUUUGCACCUAAUAUUGUUCUGCUUUAUUUUAUUUUUGAAUUAAAAUUGUAUUUAAAAUUUAUUCAAACUUUUAUUAACUGGUUUUAACUUUUUUUGCCUUUAAUAAUUUUAUCUUGCCUGUAUGUCACUCUAGGUUUCUAUUUUUUAAACUUAUAAUGCUAUAAUAUGCAUUUUAUUAAUGUAUUCAUUCAUUAUUCAUUUUCUUAUUUGACUUCAUUGCAUUUUGGCCACUUUUUAUUGAGAGGAUUAAAAAAUAUGUAUCUCCUCCAUGUUUAUAAUAUGCAUUUUAUUAAUGUAUUCAUUCAUUAUCAUUUUCUUAUUUGACUUCAUUGCAUUUUGGCCACUUUUUAUUGAGAGGAUUAAAAAAUAUGUAUCUCCUCCAUGUUAAUUUAUAUAAAUAAUAAUAUAGAUUUUUAUUAAUUCAUAUUCAUUGUGUGUUUUCAUUUCUUUUAUUAUUUGACUUUAUUGCAUUUUGGCCAUCAUUUGAUAAGGAAGUGAAAAAGCUGUACCUUACUUUUUCAUAGACUAUAUGAUUUAUAAAAAAGAAAAUCUUAUGUUAUUUGCAAGCAUUUUACAUGCUUUAACUGUGAGAUUGAGUAAAAAGGAAUUAAAGCACAAUUUAUUAUAUUUUUAAA